AAGAUUGCAAAGUUUUAGCCGACUCGGCGAGAAUCCUACAUCAGCGAUAAAGAAUAGAAGAAGCUCUAACUCGAAUUUUGAUUUGGAGAAGCAGUAGACAAGCCCGGAUGAUCUAAAGAAUUUAAAAAUUUUAGGAAAUAAUUGAAUCAGACAAGUGACUCAUUAAGUAAGAAUUAAGAAAUUAAUCAAAUAAAUUAUCUAUUAAUCUAACUGCUAUAAGUAGACUAGAUUAUGCCCAAAUUUUGAUAGCACCUCCCCUAUAAAUUGGACUAUCCAUCUGUUUAAAUAUUAAUGAUUUUAUUAAAUAUUUAUUCAAUCUACACAACUCAUCCGUCAGUUAAUAAAAUCAAAAUCUCAUCCUCCUUUAAUAGUCACAUCACCACAAAACCAUAAUUUAUAAAUUAAAAUAACUCUCAAUCACACCUUAAAAUAAUCUUCCAACUUUAGACAACAAUAUUAUCAAUCUCUUAUCUUACAUCAAUAUAAUUAGCUUCUUUAAUUAACUGCCAAAUAAAUAAAAUUUUUUAUAAAUAUAAAUAUAAACAAAUCUUAUACCAAUGUUCUUUUAAUCGACACUUGCACAUUAAAUAUCUUAAGCUUAACCACUUCAUAUACUCUUAUACAAAUAUAUGUCAUAAUCCAAUCAUUCAUACACGCUUUACUUUCUCUAAACCAACAUAAAAAUCAUUUCUUGUAACAGUUACCAUUAUUCAAAAUUUCAAGUUUUCCACCAAAAUUCAUGUUUCACACAAUAAUCAAUUCAUUCUCAACAUAAAUUAUCUUUAUAAAAAAUCAUUCCUUCUUAAAUUUAAAUGGCUCACAUAAUUAGGAAGUUAUUUGCUACCGUAAAUGAGAAUCCCUUGAUUUCUUCACGAUGUAUAAGUAAAUAAACUAGACAUUAUAGAAAAAGAAAUUUCAAUUUUCAUAAACCAACUAGAUAGUAAAGAUCAAAGUUUCAUCAAAUAUUUAAAAUAUAAUAUAUAUAUAUAUAUCCUACUUAACUCAUCUAAAAACUCAAUUCAUAAUUCCUAAUAAUAAUAAUUUUAACAAAAUUCUCCAAAUCCACCUGCAGAAUACCAAAGCUAAGAGUUUAAUCUAUACAUUACUUCAAUCUAUACUUUAAUCCCUUCAACUAAAAUCAAAAACCUAUGAAUUCCACCUCAAAGAGUCAAAAUAUAGCUCACCAGCUGCAAAACGAGUUGGAAAUUGAAAAUUUCCAACUAAAAUGACCGGAAUUUGCUCUACUGCCCGAUCCGAUUUUGUCGGUGUUAACUUGGCCAGAGCUGGAGAGGACCGUGGUCGGUGAGGUUGCUAGAGGGGAUGGAAGAGCUCAAUCAGCGAUCCUUGGCUGGUUUCGCUGGAGGAGCAGACAAACGAUGAAUCGACUGUCCCAAACGCAACAGAUUGAAAUCGCAGCUCCUUGUUUUGCUGCGCCAACCGGAAACAGAAGAGAGAGAGCGCGUGAAACGGAGAGACCGAAGCUUCAUCGCCAAUCGCUGGUACUGGAGUCGCCGAAAAAUCGAGUGAGCUGCGAUGCGCUUUCCUGAUCUAACGAAAUCACAGGUUUCUUGCAAUAGCUGCACUCUCCAGAGACGUGAGGCGGCGGUGUGGCAAGGAGGCGGUGGUGGACAGUUGUUGCCCGGCGAUCGGGAAAAUGAAAACAAAGGAAAUGGAGGGGCUGAAGUUGGCGUUCAAAGGGAUAGAGAGGCUUCUAGAGGGUUCUGGUUUAGGCCUUAGGAAAUGAUUUGGUUUGAUUCGAUUCAGGGUCUCUGCUUGGGUUUCCUUUCGAUUUGUGGGCUUUUCAAUUGCUUUAAUUAAUUAUUUAGAUUCGGUAAUUAAAUAAAUAAAUAGGGUGUUAAUUAACUAAAUUUUUAAAUGUAAUAACUUCUAUAAUGCCAUUGAUUAGGAUUAAAAAUUAAAUUUUUAAAUGAAAAAUUUUUGAAAAUAAAAUUCCGGAUGAUUUUAAUAAAUCACAUCAUCCACUUUAAAAAAAAAUCUAGUUGAAAUAAAA
RNAcentral lists this long non-coding RNA (2011 nucleotides) under Jatropha curcas. Its description in RNAcentral is "long non-coding RNA (JCUR_LNC003287)". Lineage: Eukaryota; Viridiplantae; Streptophyta; Magnoliopsida; Malpighiales; Euphorbiaceae. The record is from RNAcentral.